This 479-nucleotide ribosomal RNA is filed under the name uncultured bacterium. Its description in RNAcentral is "bacterial SSU rRNA". It matches the Rfam family "Bacterial small subunit ribosomal RNA", at positions 330 to 801 of the family's 1533-position model. The record is from RNAcentral.
ACCGUACUCCUACGGGAGGCAGCAGUGGGGAAUUUUGGACAAUGGGGGCAACCCUGAUCCAGCAAUGCCGCGUGCGUGAAGAAGGCCUUCGGGUUGUAAAGCUCUUUUGUCAGGGUAGAAACGGUAGUAGCUAAUAUCUAUUACUCAUGACGGUACCUGAAGAAUAAGCACCGGCUAACUACGUGCCAGCAGCCGCGGUAAUACGUAGGGUGCAAGCGUUACUCGGAAUUACUGGGCGUAGAGCGUGCGCAGGCUGUUGUGUAAGGCAGAUGUGAAAUCCCUGGGCUCAACCUGGGAAUUGCAUUUGAGACUGCACGGCUAGAGUGUGUCAGAGGGAGGUAGAAUUCCACGUGUAGCAGUGAAAUGCGUAGAUAUGUGGAGGAAUACCGAUGGCGAAGGCAGCCCCCUGGGAUAGCACUGACGCUCAUGCACGAAAGCGUGGGGAGCAAACAGGAUUAGAUACCCGAGUAGUCCUUGAC